AGACCCGAAACCCGGUGAUCUAGCCAUGGGCAGGUUGAAGGUUGGGUAACACUAACUGGAGGACCGAACCGACUAAUGUUGAAAAAUUAGCGGAUGACCUGUGGCUGGGGGUGAAAGGCCAAUCAAACCGGGAGAUAGCUGGUUCUCCCCGAAAGCUAUUUAGGUAGCGCCUCGUGAAUUCAUCUCCGGGGGUAGAGCACUGUUUCGGCUAGGGGGCCAUCCCGGCUUACCAACCCGAUGCAAACUGCGAAUACCGGAGAAUGUUAUCACGGGAGACACACGGCGGGUGCUAACGUCCGUCGUGAAGAGGGAAACAACCCAGACCGCCAGCUAAGGUCCCAAAGUCAUGGUUAAGUGGGAAACGAUGUGGGAAGGCACAGACAGCCAGGAUGUUGGCUUAGAAGCAGCCAUCAUUUAAAGAAAGCGUAAUAGCUCACUGGUCGAGUCGGCCUGCGCGGAAGAUGUAACGGGGCUAAACCAUGCACCGAAGCUGCGGCAGCGACACUGUGUGUUGUUGGGUAGGGGAGCGUUCUGUAAGCCUGUGAAGGUGUGUCGUGAGGC
Molecule: ribosomal RNA, 561 nt
Filed under: Salmonella enterica subsp. enterica serovar Bareilly
Lineage: Bacteria; Pseudomonadati; Pseudomonadota; Gammaproteobacteria; Enterobacterales; Enterobacteriaceae
Description: partial 23S ribosomal RNA
Rfam family: Bacterial large subunit ribosomal RNA
Source: RNAcentral